Molecule: ribosomal RNA, 636 nt
Filed under: uncultured fungus
Lineage: Eukaryota; Fungi
Description: eukaryotic LSU rRNA
Rfam family: Eukaryotic large subunit ribosomal RNA
Source: RNAcentral
CCCGCUGAACUUAAGCAUAUCAAUGAGCGGAGGAAAAGAAACUAGACAAGGAUUCCCCUAGUAACGGCGAGUGAAGCGGGAUGAGCUCAAAUUUAAAAUCUGGUAGCCUUUGGUUGCCCGAGUUGUAAUCUAGAGAAGCGUUUUCCGUGCUGGACUGUGUACAAGUUUCCUGGAUACGGAACAUCAUAGAGGGUGAGAAUCCCGUCCUUGACACAGACUCCCAGUGCUUUGUGAUGCGCUCUCAACGAGUCGAGUUGUUUGGGAUUGCAGCUCAAAAUGGGAGGUAAAUUCCUUCUAAAGCUAAAUAUUGGCGAGAGACCGAUAGCGAACAAGUACCGUGAGGGAAAGAUGAAAAGCACUUUGGAAAGAGAGUUAAACAGUACGUGAAAUUGUUAAAAGGGAAACGAUUGAAGUCAGUCGCGUCUACUUGGACUCAGCCUUACCUCGGUUUGGUGCAUUUCCUUGUGGACGGGCCAGUGUCCAUGUUGAUAGCUGGAAAAGGUUCAGGGGAAUGUGGCUCUUUUAGAGUGUUAUAGCCUCUGUUCAUAUACCGUAGUUGAUAUGGAGUGAUGCAGCAUGCUUCGGCCGGUGCUUGUACUGGCAUAAUGGCUUUGAACGACCCGUCGUGAAACACGG